This 428-nucleotide ribosomal RNA is filed under the name uncultured bacterium. RNAcentral describes it as "partial 16S ribosomal RNA". It matches the Rfam family "Bacterial small subunit ribosomal RNA", at positions 354 to 796 of the family's 1533-position model. The record is from RNAcentral.
GUGGGGAAUAUUAGGCAAUGGGCGAAAGCCUGACCUAGCAACGCCGCGUGAAGGAAGAAGGCCUUCGGGUUGUAAACUUCUUUUAUGAGGGACGAAGGACGUGACGGUACCUCAUGAAUAAGCCACGGCUAACUACGUGCCAGCAGCCGCGGUAAUACGUAGGUGGCGAGCGUUGUCCGGAUUUACUGGGUGUAAAGGGCGCGUAGGCGGACUGGCAAGUCAGAUGUGAAAUACAGGGGCUCAACCCCUGAACUGCAUUUGAAACUGUUGGUCUUGAGUAUCGGAGAGGCAAGCGGAAUUCCUAGUGUAGCGGUGAAAUGCGUAGAUAUUAGGAGGAACACCAGUGGCGAAGGCGGCUUGCUGGACGACAACUGACGCGGAGGCGCGAAAGCGUGGGGAGCAAACAGGAUUAGAAACCCCUGUAGUCC